UACGUAGGGGGCUAGCGUUGUCCGGAUUUAUUGGGCGUAAAGAGCGUGUAGGCGGCCAGGUAGGUCUGCUGUGAAAACUCGAGGCUUAACCUCGAGCUGUCGGCGGAAACCAUCUGGCUAGAGUCCGGAAGAGGAGAAUGGAAUUCCCGGUGUAGCGGUGGAAUGCGCAGAUAUCAGGAGGAACACCAAUAGCGAAGGCAGCUCGCUGGGACGUUACUGACACUGAGGCGCGAAAGCGUGGGGAGCGAACAGG
This 253-nucleotide ribosomal RNA is filed under the name uncultured bacterium. Its description in RNAcentral is "partial 16S ribosomal RNA". It matches the Rfam family "Bacterial small subunit ribosomal RNA", at positions 524 to 776 of the family's 1533-position model. The record is from RNAcentral.